UAGGGAAUCUUCCACAAUGGAACGAAAGUCUGAUGGAGCAACGCCGCGUGAGUGAAGAAGGGUUUCGGCUCGUAAAGCUCUGUUGGUAGUGAAAGAAAGAUAGAGGUAGUAACUGGCCUUUAUUUGACGGUAAUUACUUAGAAAGUCACGGCUAACUACGUGCC
RNAcentral lists this ribosomal RNA (164 nucleotides) under uncultured bacterium. Its description in RNAcentral is "partial 16S ribosomal RNA". It matches the Rfam family "Bacterial small subunit ribosomal RNA", at positions 355 to 509 of the family's 1533-position model. The record is from RNAcentral.